GCAUGAAAGUGAAAAGUGAAAGUGAAGUCGCUCAGUCGUGUCUGACUCUUAGCGACCCCAUGGACUGCAGCCUACCGGGCUCCUCUGUCCAUGGGAUUUUCCAGCCAAGAGUACUGGAGUGGGGUGCCAUUGUCAACACCUAUCCCUGUUUCUCUCCUAGGAUCACCCCUUGUCAGCCCUCCUAUCGCAGACGCAGAGCCCCUGUCUCGUUGUCUCCAACUCCUGGAGAUCCCACGCAGUGGUCCAUUUCUCUUUCACCCACCCGCUACUUUAAGGGAGAAAUCUAUUUCAUGUUACCAUCCCUUUGCAAGUGCCUCAGCCAUCCUGGGCGACCCCGUCGGUUCUCCCAUCGUUUUCCACUUCUGACUUUGCCUUUCACUCUCAGUCACUGCUUCUUCUGAUCCCCCUAGCCCACGUAUCUACAGAAAUGAUGAGUAAAUGAAACGCCCGCCUAUCAAAAGAGCACAUUUUCCAACGAGACGGACUCGUGACGGAAAAACGCUGGGUGUCACACGUCCAGCCCAGGGGUGAGGAAAAGGGACUGACCAGGAAGGGAGGCCUGCGGGGCAGAACGAUCGGCCUGAGGAGACGCGAGGGCAGAGAGGCUGGAAGCGAGGGGGUCUCAGGGGUCGGGCGGGCUCUCCGGAAUCCCAGGACCGGGGAGAGGAAUCGGCUUCUCCGGGAGUGGAACUGUCGACGCGACCUCCAGGGGUCGACAGGGUGAGGCGGUGGAGGUGGGCGUGCCCGAAUCCCCCUCGCGCCCGGGGACUUGACAAGGCACAGGCGCAGCCUCCUGGAAAUUUUGAGGAUUUGGGUCACUUUGCUCUCCCCCUCCGGAUGCGAGGAAAACAUGCACUGGGCACAGUGGAGAGGAGGAAGCUGGCGGGUUCCGCGGACCAGAGGCGCUGCUGCGGCGGGGCUCCACGCCGCCAUGCCCGCAGAGGCGGCCGGCCUUCCCAGCUGGAAGGCCAAACUCCACAUGGCUCGGUUCCAGAGACACAAGGUCAAAACCUACAGUCUGAGACUGGAGGACUAAGAAGACAUGGGUUCUGCUCCAGGAUAACGCCACAUGCCUCGGGGCAACUAAGACCAAGUGACACAACUACUGAGCCUGUGCUGUAACGCCCAAGAGCCCAAACUACUAGGCCCACGUGCUGAAACUACUGAAGCCCAAGCAUCAUACAGCCCAUGCUCUGCAACAAGACACAAGAAUGCCACGCACCACGACUAGACAACAGCCCCCACUGCUGGCAACUAGAGAAAAGACCAAGCAGUGACAAAGACCCAGAACACCUAAAU
This is a long non-coding RNA of Bos taurus (domestic cattle), 1299 nucleotides long. The record is from Ensembl. Lineage: Eukaryota; Metazoa; Chordata; Mammalia; Artiodactyla; Bovidae.